This 382-nucleotide unclassified non-coding RNA is filed under the name soil metagenome. RNAcentral describes it as "partial contains 5.8S ribosomal RNA, internal transcribed spacer 2, and large subunit ribosomal RNA". The stretch from base 1 to 120 matches the Rfam family "5.8S ribosomal RNA", at positions 35 to 154 of the family's 154-position model. The record is from RNAcentral.
GAUGAAGAACGUAGCGAAAUGCGAUAAGUAAUGUGAAUUGCAGAAUUCAGUGAAUCAUCGAAUCUUUGAACGCACCUUGCACCCUUUGGCAUUCCGAAGGGUAUGCUCGUUUGAGUGUCAUUGUACUCUCACUCUCCCGAUACUUUUGGAUCGGGAGUGGUGGACGUGGGUGCUGCUGCUUAACUGUGGCUCGCCUUAAAUGAAGUAGUGCAACUCUCGGUUGGACAUAGUACGGCGUGAUAAGUGUCUUCGCCGGCGCCUCAUUCGAGGGUGGCCGAUCGGGAGCUCUGUGCUUCAAACUGUCUUCGGACAACAUCUGACAACUUGACCUCAAAUCGAGUAGGACUACCCGCUGAACUUAAGCAUAUCAAUAAGCGGAGGA